RNAcentral lists this ribosomal RNA (505 nucleotides) under uncultured bacterium. RNAcentral's name for it is "partial 16S ribosomal RNA". It matches the Rfam family "Bacterial small subunit ribosomal RNA", at positions 28 to 507 of the family's 1533-position model. The record is from RNAcentral.
GACGAACGCUGGCGGCGUGCCUAAUACAUGCAAGUAGAACGCACAGUUUAUACCGUAGCUUGCUACACCAUAGACUGUGAGUUGCGAACGGGUGAGUAACGCGUAGGUAACCUGCCUGGUAGCGGGGGAUAACUAUUGGAAACGAUAGCUAAUACCGCAUAAUAUUGAUUAUUGCAUGAUAAUUAAUUGAAAGGUGCAAUUGCAUCACUACCAGAUGGACCUGCGUUGUAUUAGCUAGUAGGUGAGGUAACGGCUCACCUAGGCGACGAUACAUAGCCGACCUGAGAGGGUGAUCGGCCACACUGGGACUGAGACACGGCCCAGACUCCUACGGGAGGCAGCAGUAGGGAAUCUUCGGCAAUGGACGAAAGUCUGACCGAGCAACGCCGCGUGAGUGAAGAAGGGUUUCGGAUCGUAAAGCUCGGUUGUAAGAGAAGAACGGGUGUGAGAGUGGAAAGUUCACACUGUGACGGUAUCUUACCAGAAAGGGACGGCUAACUACGUG